GCGCCGCCCGAGCAGCCAUGUCCGAGGAGAAGCCCAAGGAGGGCGUGAAGACAGAGAACGACCACAUCAAGCUGAAGGUGGCCGGGCGGGACGGCUCCGUGGUGCAGUUCAAGAUCUAGAGGCACCCGCCGCUGAGCAAGCUGAUGAAGGCCUACUGCGGGAGGCAGGGCUUGUCAAUGAGACAGAUUAGAUUCAGGUUUGACGGGCAGCCAAUCAAUGAGACCGACACUCCAGCACAGCUGGAGAUGGAGGACGAGGACACCAUCGAUGUGUUCCAGCAGCAGACAGGAGGUGCGCCGGAGAGCAGCCUGGCGGGGCAUGGUUUCUAGAGGGCCGUCUCCAGCCUGGGCCGUCCGUCCUUGCAUUGCUGUUGAAUGGUGACCAUGCCGACCACAAAGUCGUCUGUGAAAACUUGAGGACGUUCACCACAACGGUUUUCCUCUCCUUGAUGUACUUCAAGUUCGACUCAAAACUCUAUCUGCAGGGAUGAAUCUGUAACUGAAAUCAGGCCAAUCAGAAUUGUUACCUUUGUUCAGGCUCGCUGGCCCUUGAGCAUGUGACCUUGCAGUCUGAGGCCCAGGACCCACCCCCCUGCCACCCUCCCACCCCACUCCCUGCUCAGUACCUGGCAUUGGCACACAGGCAAGAAUUGGCACAACCAGAAUUGGCUUUUUCUUCUUAAUACUGAAGAAAUUCCCACGUUUCUCAUUUGGUAUUGGUGUUGUGGCCUCAGAUUUCUUCUAGUAUUUGCUUCUGAUGAAUAAUUAUGGUCUAUACAUAAAAAAGUAAGAUUAAGUAUUGCUGAAUUUGCAGUUACGUUGUUGUGUAAAAGAGCUUCCAAGUGUGGUUACAAAUGAACCCAUGGAAUGAUGACUUCACGUUCUUCUCGUGGGUUUGUGCUGUGCUGCUUUCUAAAUAUGUAUUGAAUUUAUGCAUUAGUCUGGUGAUUUCAGUUCUGUGAAAUAUUUUGGGAUCUAUACCAAUUAAACAUUUUCAUAGUUCAAAAAAAAAAA
Molecule: RNA transcript, 1013 nt
Organism: Callithrix jacchus (white-tufted-ear marmoset)
Lineage: Eukaryota; Metazoa; Chordata; Mammalia; Primates; Cebidae
Gene name: small ubiquitin-related modifier 3 pseudogene
Source: RefSeq, a predicted model, not a curated record